Pangasius djambal is the source of this 71-nucleotide non-coding RNA. Lineage: Eukaryota; Metazoa; Chordata; Actinopteri; Siluriformes; Pangasiidae. The record is from the annotation of a GenBank genome assembly.
AGUGGUAGCUCAGUGGUUAAGACAUUUGACUUCUGUUUAAAGGGUUGAGAGUUCAACUCUCAGCAUCACUA